AUGUUUAUUUAAUUUCGGAAUUCAGGUGUAAAAUUAUUUCUUAGCUUUUUGACAUUUUGCGGUGUUUGUUGACGUUUCAGCAUGUGUUUGCUUAAGCGCUAAAAGCCAAUUAAAAUUCAGCCCUCGCUUAUAGACCAAAACUGUUUCCAAAGCUCAGGAAGGAGAUGGACGAAGUUGUGUAAACUUGGAAUAUUUUAUGGAAUGAGGAACAUGCUCGAAGUGACAAUGAUUAGCGUGUUAAAUGCGACAGCUGCUAAUUUGUGGGUAGAAAAUAAAUUAGUUAAGGCACAAAAUGUUUAAAAAAAAAUGAAAAACUAUUUGACAGUUUAGAAACAAUGUAAUACAAAUUAGUCUCAAUAAAAUAUUUCUUUAGAAGUUCAAUGGAGAGUUUGCGAGUGCCAGCGUCUAGUUUAGAUCCAAAGCAUAAUCUAUAUCGUUUGCAAAAGAUCUAUCUUAUUGCCAUCGUGCUGGUAAUGAUAGGCAUCUUACAACUGGUGAUGCUGAAGGCGAUGCACAUUAAAUUAAUUGACUCGGUGCCCGUGCCGAAUUUCAUGUAUAUGGUCAUUGCAUUGGUCUGCAUUGUGCUGAUGGUAUACACCGAACUUUUCAACGAACAUCCCGUCAACUGGACACUUGGAAUUGUCGCUGUGGAGUGCGUAACAUUGUGCACAAUCUCUUCGAAAUGGAAUCAUUUGCCAGUGUUAUAUGCAAGCAUUGUCUUGGGUGUUGUUCUAAUCGUUAACAUUAUGCUGUAUAUGUUGGGUGCAUGUCUGCCAUUGAUCUUGUUACCUGGAUAUUAUGGUAUACUGUUUAUAACGAUUGUGUUUAUCAUCAUGUACAUAUUCCUCUGCAUAAUUGUAUUCAUCUUAUCCAUUCGCAAUCUUAUGGUAAUUAUUGAUUUAUGGACACUUGUGUAUAUGCUUCCACUCACCGUCUAUGCGUCCACAUUGAUACAUCAUCGUCGUUUACCUAAUAUGCCAUCUGACGAAUACAUUCUAUCAGCCACGGUUCUGGCGACUUUCUUUUUAUUUAUGAUCUAUCUGGUUACGUCGAGUACCACUUAUAUUUGUCGAAUGGUAGGUUGUUCCUUAUUUGAGAAGUAUCAAAAGCGGAGAGCACAUUAAAUAUCAUUACCAACAUUUUUGGCUGCGAUGUGGAUUAAGCCAAUUUCACAGAAUUCUUGUCAGUUUUGAGUAGCGCUUUAAGAUAACCACUCAAAAUGGAAUCCUUCGCAACGGUAUCGCAAACAAUUCACAAAUGGAAUUUAUGAAAUUAACAUAACUUCAGGCAAUUUAGAAAUAGACAUUUCUAUUUGAAUUUUACGCUUUAAGUGGGCAGUGAAGUGAGCAAAAAUAUUCCACCAAAAAGGAUAACAAAAAUGAACUCGCCUGCAAAUUCUAGAAAUUCGUUGAUAAAAAAAAGACAAAAAACUUGAAACCCACCCAAAAAAAGAAAGACGAGCAAACAAAAGUUGUCCCCAUAAUGUAGCCGCAUAAUCCCGGCGAAAACGGAAACGGAAAUGGAAACGAACCAGAAUUUCGUCCCAGUCGUCAGCCCAGACAUGGGGAAAAUCAGCAUGCGUCAGCAAAUGUUUUGUUUUGGCUACUAAACACCCCUUUUAACUGGGUGUAAAAUAGAAAAAUUACGUUGCUGCACGUAAUAAAGCACCAGUUAACUGCAUGUAUUAAAAAGCUUAAAUUCUUAUAUGCAUUUAAUAAAUGUGGAUCUUUGGUAA
RNA transcript from Drosophila nasuta, 1735 nucleotides. RefSeq lists it as uncharacterized. The transcript has 2 exons. The record is from RefSeq and is a predicted model, not a curated record. Lineage: Eukaryota; Metazoa; Arthropoda; Insecta; Diptera; Drosophilidae.